GACGAACGCUGGCGGCGUGCUUAACACAUGCAAGUCGAACGGAAAGGCCCUGCUUUUGUGGGGUGCUCGAGUGGCGAACGGGUGAGUAACACGUGAGUAACCUGCCCUUGACUUUGGGAUAACUUCAGGAAACUGGGGCUAAUACCGGAUAGGAGCUCCUGCUGCAUGGUGGGGGUUGGAAAGUUUCGGUGGUUGGGGAUGGACUCGCGGGUUAUCAGCUUGUUGGUGGGGUAGUGGCUUACCAAGGCUUUGACGGGUAGCCGGCCUGAGAGGGUGACCGGCCACAUUGGGACUGAGAUACGGCCCAGACUGCGACGGGAGGGAGCAGUGGGGAAUAUUGCACAAGGGGCGGAAGCCUGAUGCAGCAACGCCGCGUGCGGGAUGACGGCCUUCGGGUUGUAAACCGCUUUCGCCUGUGACGAAGCGUGAGUGACGGUAAUGUGUAAAGAAGCACCGGCUAACUACGUG
RNAcentral lists this ribosomal RNA (468 nucleotides) under uncultured bacterium. RNAcentral describes it as "partial 16S ribosomal RNA". It matches the Rfam family "Bacterial small subunit ribosomal RNA", at positions 28 to 507 of the family's 1533-position model. The record is from RNAcentral.